This 213-nucleotide long non-coding RNA is filed under the name Lupinus angustifolius (narrow-leaved blue lupine). RNAcentral's name for it is "long non-coding RNA (LANG_LNC003378)". Lineage: Eukaryota; Viridiplantae; Streptophyta; Magnoliopsida; Fabales; Fabaceae. The record is from RNAcentral.
UUGUUUUACACAUAACAUAUAUAUUAAGCUAAGUGUGGAAGUAAGAGAGAUCCAUUGAAAUGUGUUUACUACCCUUGACUUAAGUGACAUAUACCUUGGUACUUGUUCACUAAGGAGCCUCUUAUAAGUGUUAUAACUACAACCACUUCUCAAUUAUUCUCAUUUUUUCCACUAAGGUCAUCCUCAAAGGGAGCAUUAGCUUUGGAAGCAAAC